Molecule: ribosomal RNA, 497 nt
Filed under: uncultured bacterium
Lineage: Bacteria
Description: partial 16S ribosomal RNA
Rfam family: Bacterial small subunit ribosomal RNA
Source: RNAcentral
GACGAACGCUGGCGGCGUGCCUAAUACAUGCAAGUAGAACGCUGAAGCUUGGUGCUUGCACCGAGCGGAUGAGUUGCGAACGGGUGAGUAACGCGUAGGUAACCUGCCUGGUAGCGGGGGAUAACUAUUGGAAACGAUAGCUAAUACCGCAUAACAGUAGAUAUCGCAUGAUAGCUACUUGAAAGGUGCAAAUGCACCACUACCAGAUGGACCUGCGUUGUAUUAGCUAGUUGGUGAGGUAACGGCGCACCAAGGCAACGAUACAUAGCCGACCUGAGAGGGUGAUCGGCCACACUGGGACUGAGACACGGCCCAGACUCCUACGGGAGGCAGCAGUAGGGAAUCUUCGGCAAUGGACGGAAGUCUGACCGAGCAACGCCGCGUGAGUGAAGAAGGUUUUCGGAUCGUAAAGCUCUGUUGUAAGAGAAGAACGAGUGUGAGAGUGGAAAGUUCACACUGUGACGGUAUCUUACCAGAAAGGGACGGCUAACUACGUG